AUGGGGCAGCAGGCAGACAUGGGAGAGCCAAUAGUGUAUGAGGGGAACAUGGGGUAGCACAGUGUGUGCAAGGGAUACAUGGGGCAGCAGGCAGUAUAAGGAGGACAUGAGGCAACAGGGAGACAUGGGACAGCAGUUGGUCAUGGGGCAGCAGAGUGUGUGUGAUUGGGGACAUGGGACAGCAGGGGCUGUAAGGGGGAUAUGGGGGGCAAAGAGACAUGGGACAGCAGAGUGUAUGUGAGGGGAACUUGAAGCAGCACGG
This is a non-coding RNA of Pelobates cultripes (western spadefoot toad), 262 nucleotides long. The record is from the annotation of a GenBank genome assembly. NCBI's taxonomy places the organism in Eukaryota, Metazoa, Chordata, Amphibia, Anura, Pelobatidae.